RNAcentral lists this long non-coding RNA (3081 nucleotides) under Capra hircus (goat). RNAcentral describes it as "lncRNA (ENSCHIG00000004702.1)". Lineage: Eukaryota; Metazoa; Chordata; Mammalia; Artiodactyla; Bovidae. The record is from RNAcentral.
AAGCUUUGCACAGUGCUUUUUGUGGCAGGCUGGUAGAGGAGAGAGAUUUGUUUUCCCUUUCAGAACUAAAGCAUGUCACUGCCAAGGACACAGUCUUGAAGCCAACCGGAAUCACUCCCUCGGUCAGAUAAUCUCCAGGACAAUGGCUUAAUAUUAUAUACUCUCUGUUUUGGUCCAAUAAGACACAUAGUCAAGGGGAAUGCCCCUGCAUUCCCGUAUAAGUGAAAACUAAUAGACACAGCCCCCCCGAUGAGGGAGGCUCUCUGGGGGCCCUCUCCCCAGACACUCUCCCGUGGGACACUCUCCCGUGGGACACUCUCCCGUGGGACACCAUCCCGUAAGCGGCGAGGGCCUGGAUGUGUGGGUGCUGGCUGGAGGCGGGGACGACUGCACAGGGGACUCAGGAGAGAAGCACCAGCAGCUGCGGAGACAAGUCUACAGACCAACCAGAAAAGUUGAAGAAGAUUUAAAAUGAGGAGCCGGAAGUAUGUCUUCAGCCUUCUGGUGAAGGAGAACCGUGAGUCUCUCUUGACUGCACUGUUGAUUUAAUGUUGUUUGUGUGGCUAUGUGGUCCACGGUGCCCACAGUGGGCAGGUGGAGGCCUCUUGCUCAUCAGCUUGUUCAUGCAGAAAUAGCUUGUGAGAGCAAUAACUAUCCCAUGCAAAUCCGGAGUAAGAAAGGUAGGGGAAAAUUCUAGAAUAUUUGCAGGAAGUUAAGUAAUGACAUAAAGAAGUCCUUACUUAAGAAAUACUUCACAUUAUAAUCAGCACUUACAGAAUGAACUAGUGGUGGGCAGGGGAAGCACGUAUUAUUUAUUUACUCUACAAGACGAUUUCCUCACUUUACAAAAAGCCAGAUAUUUCUUCUAGGAAGUCAGCAUUCAUGGGUACUAAAUGUAAAGUUGAUGCAUGUAAUAAAGCUAAUUAUACAACUUUUGACUAACAAACCUACUGUUUAAUAAGCAUAAUAAACAUAGCCGUGCUCUGCCGUGUUAUAGAUAAAGUGUUUUGUUUUAUGUUUUAAUAAACACACAUUUUGGGGAUAAAUUUCCAUGUGUUGUACAGCAGAAACUAACAUUUGCCGACAAAGUUCUGUAUAGUCAAAGCUAUGUUUUUUCCACUAGUCAUGUAUGGGUGUGAGAGCUGGACCAUAAAGAAAAGCUGAGCUUUGAAGAAUGGAUGCUUUUGAAUUGUGGUGCUGGAGAAGACUCUUGAGAGUCAGUUGGACAGCAAAGAGAUGAACCAGUCAGUCCUAAAGGAAAUCAAGUCAAUAUUCAUUGGAAGGACUGAUGCUGAUGCUGAAGCUGAAGCUCCAAUACUUUGACCACCUGAUGCGAAGAGUUGACUCAUUGGAAAAGACCCUGAUGCUGGGAAAGACUGAGGGCAGGAGGAGAAGGGGCAACAGAGGAUAAGAUGGUUGGAUGGCAUCACUGACUCAGUGGACAUGAGUUUGAGCAAACUUCGGGAGAUAGUGGAAGACAGCGAAGCCUAGCGUGCUGCAGUUCAUGCGGUCACAAAGAGUGGGACACGACUUAGCGACUGAACAAAAAAAAAACAACAACAAAGCAAUCAUACUCCAAUAAAAAUUAAUUUAAAAAGAAAAUAAAGUUAGGUCAAAAAAAUUCUGUAAGAUAAUGUGUUUCUCAAGGUCCAAUGUAACGUGUGUGCCUACUGUGAAUUGGAUAGAAAAGUGAAAUCCAUUUUCUGUGAUGAAAGGUCUGUAAUACUAACAUUUACCACAAGGGGGCAGCGCACCACAGGGUAGAGAACAGCAAAACCCGCGAUUGGGAAUGCACAGCCCUGGGCAAGACUGCCUCCUUCCCGGGACCGCGGGUUGGGGGACAAUUCAUUUACAGUUGUGAAGAGGCAGAUCUGAUGGUGCCUUGGCACAACCGAAAGCCCUAAGUAUUUGCCAGAAACCUCUUAGCUGUUCUCCUGCAGAAAAAGGAUGAAAUCGUUUUGUGUGGUGAACUUAAACAUUGACAGAAACAAUGUUUCCUAUAUAAAUACAAAAUUUGCCCACCGACAUCAUCAACAAAUGCGAUUUUAAGCAGGUACAAUACACACUGACUUAUAAACACACUGUUUCCCCUUCAAGUUUCUUUUGUGAGCUUAUACAGCUUAUGCUCUCUCACUCAGCUGUCACGCAGUCGUGUCUGACUCUUUGUGACCCUCUGGACUGUAGCCCGCCGGGCUCUUCCGUUCAGGGGACUUUUCAGGCAAGAGUACUGGAGUGGGGUGCUAUUUCCUCCUCCAGGGGAUCUUCCCGACCCAGGGAUUGAACACGUGUCUCCUGCAUUCCAGGUGGUUUCUUUACCGCUGAGCCACCAGGGAAAUGCAUGAAGUAAAAUAAUUCAUUCGUGUUCUACUGAUCAUGUCUUUGGACUGGCUCUGGAUGGAAAUAGUGCUUAGGAUUUAUAGUAAAUUAUCAUUGAGUAAGGGCUUCCCUGCUGGAUCAGACAGUAAAGAAUCUGCCUGCAAUUACUGAGUAAAAAUAAGUUCCCAAGAAAUUUAGGAUAGAAAAUUAGAGGUGUUUUUGUUUUAUUUUAGGGAAAAUUUUCCUUUGAUAUUUUUGUAAUGGACUAGAUUUCCACGGAAUGUAUUGAAAUAUUAUGAGUGAUUAAACAUGUCAGGAAACCAAGUGAUUCUACUAUGUCUUGUCCAUACCAGCUGAAGGACAAAUCAAUGGUCCUAUUGGUUCCAGGUCCCAGAUCUGGCCGAAAGCGGCACAUGAAUUGAUCACUCCAUAGUUUUCAUCUCAUGGGAAAACUUAGCCAGGGGGAGUUUACGCUUGACUAUGUGUCAGAUCCACGUAUGUCUUCUGAUACUCAUUUCCCUGUUGUCCUUUGUACCAAAGCUGCCAGCUGUCAGCUGAGUGUAUCCCUGCACAGAAUAAAGUGUAUGUUGCUCAGACCUACUUUUAGGUAUGACCAAACUGUGGCCUAUAAAGAUCCCCUUUCAAUGGAAUGAAAGCAAAAGUGGUGUUCUUUUAAGUGGCACAGGGCAUUACUUUCCUGAUGGCUAAAAUGUGGAUGUGAUGAUUGGAGCUGGAGCAGCCACACUGGGUGUUGUGGAGAAAGAC